UUUAAAAAAAAAAACAAAGAAAAAUCUAUUUUUGUGAGCGGAAUAAUUUUGGUGUUAGAUCAAGCUGUUAUUCGUUCGGAGAACAAGUUAGAAGCCAUAUCGCGAAAUAAAAUUUCGCAUUAUGUCGUCAUCGAAAUCUAAGAUUCUGCUGGGCUAUUGGGACAUUCGAGGUCUGGCCCAGCCAAUCCGUUUGUUGCUAGCUUACGCUGGCGCUGAUUUUGAAGAACGGCGUUACACUACUAUUGCCGCUUCUGAUUUCGAUAAAUCAGAAUGGGCCCUAGAGAAGGCAAAUAACAAGUUAAAUCUUGCGUUUCCCAACUUACCGUAUCUAGUCGAUGGCAGUGUCAAACUAAGUCAGAGUCAUGCUAUUAUGAGAUACUUGGGACGUAAGUUUAAUCUAAUUGGCACAACCGAGAUUGAGCUAGCUCACUGUGAGCUCGUUGAACAACAGAUUGCUGACUUACGCACAGCCUUCAUGAAAUUGUGUUACAGUCCAAGUUUCGAGCGACUUCAGGAGGGUACAUGCUCAAAGGCGGACUGCCUUGGAGUUCUCAAUGGCGGAUUUAUCGAUCGCUUUGCACAUAUGCUUCAAGAGAUUUCGGCAUUUCUCGGCGAAAGGAAAUGGUUCCUAAAUGAAAAGUUAACUUACGUUGACUUUCUUGCUUACGAACUUCUUUUUCAAAUGUAUGUCUGGAAUUCAUCAGUAUUCAAAAAUGUGACGAAUCUAACAGAUUUUAUCACCCGGUUCGAGGCACUUCCGCAAAUAUCAGCAUACAUGAAGACGGACAGCUAUAUUAAGUGGCCGUUCAACAAUAUUAUGGCAUCAUAUGGUUCCCGAAAUCAAGUGUGCCCCUUCUAAUCUACUACGUUCUAAGACAUAAUCGGCUGCAUAUCAAGCCUAUGAUGAACUAAGGCUGUUGGGCGGGUCAGAGUUGCUCUUGCAUCAAAUUAGUAUGUCAAUCAUUAUACACGAAGCCUA
Molecule: RNA transcript, 979 nt
Organism: Varroa destructor (honeybee mite)
Lineage: Eukaryota; Metazoa; Arthropoda; Arachnida; Mesostigmata; Varroidae
Gene name: glutathione S-transferase Mu 4 pseudogene
Source: RefSeq, a predicted model, not a curated record